Long non-coding RNA from Felis catus (domestic cat), 540 nucleotides. RefSeq lists it as uncharacterized. NCBI's taxonomy places the organism in Eukaryota, Metazoa, Chordata, Mammalia, Carnivora, Felidae. The record is from RefSeq and is a predicted model, not a curated record. The transcript is spliced from 2 exons.
AACAAACUUCCAUGGAACUCAAACCAAAGAAAUUCCUUAUAUUCCAAAAUCACUUUGCACUCUGAAAGAUACCAGCCUUCUUCAUCUUCUCAAAAUCUUUCAUGGAAUCAUAAUUUCUGUAGAAAUCUGCAUAUGCCUUCUUUCCUGGUUUGGCCACAGCAAACUUCAAGAAAGCUGCAACCCCAAGGGACACAGCAAAUGCUCCAACAAUAUGAAAUCGCAGACGCUUAGCCAGAAGGCCUCAUCUCUGAGAUUUCAUCAGAGCACUGAAGUCUCCUCAACACCAACUUCAAAAGCAACGUCCAUCCUAACUGAUACCCCAUCUGGCUAUUUCUGAAGAAAGCAGCAAACUACCAUUUUCAUCCCUUUGUGCCAUUUUUGUGAGCAGCAGAGAUGGAAGAGAUGAAGACUUAAUAUGUCACAGAGCUCCAUGAAAGAUUUUCUCGAAUUUUGUUGUAAUUACAUAUAUUUUAAAUGAAAAUUUUCAUGCAUCGAGAAAGUAUAGGAAGUAUAAAAAACAAAAUAACAUAUGUAUCCACA